GCUUGAGCCACAGAGCAGGGUGAAGCUUUACAGUUCUGGAGUAGAAGUAUGAAUGGGAUUGAAGUAUUUACGUGGAGGACUCUGAACUCCUUCCCUUCCUGAGUCAGGAAGGAUAGGGGCCUGCUUUGAGACCUACUGAAGCUGUCUUGAAUGAUGUGACAAAUGGCUCUCCGCAUGUACUGAGAUGCAGCACAGCCAGGAGAGCCCCUGGCCCCUGAAUACUACCUUCAGAUGGAGGAGGGAAAAUAACAUCUACAGGCACGGUAAUGUCUUCACUUUGCUACAAGAUGCAGAUGGAUCACUCCUUGCCAGCUUUCAAGGCAAAUAUUGCUGUAUAGUCCUUGCCCUCAGCAACAUCGUCAGUGUCCUGGUGAUGGGUGCUUUGAAAGGAUUGGGCAGAAGAGACGUCAUGCUACCUCUGCACAUCAGACUCUCUGUUCUAAAUAAGAAGACUACAAGGACACAUUUAUUGCGUACCAAAUUAUACAGGUUGCAUUUUUGGAGGGGAACCAAAAGGAAUGGAAGAGCAGCAUCAGUCUCUGAAUAACAAAUCUUAUUUUCUCCAUGGAAUAGUUCUUCAAGAAUGAAACAG
RNAcentral lists this long non-coding RNA (592 nucleotides) under Anser cygnoides (Swan goose). Its description in RNAcentral is "lncRNA (ENSACDG00005007632.1)". Lineage: Eukaryota; Metazoa; Chordata; Aves; Anseriformes; Anatidae. The record is from RNAcentral.